ACCUGACAAUAUGCUCUGCUUGAAAAUCAAAUGUUUUCGACCUACUCAAUUGUGUCGCCACGAUUUAAAGAUGGCUGACCACGGUCAGAGUUUCACCGGCAAUAAGCAGUCGAUUUGGCCCCGAGAGACGGUUUACCUUGUAUUAGUUGGGUUAUUGCUGUUAACUAUCUUGAUACUCACUCUCAUUAACCGAUGGUUCAGCUCUAGCGAGCCACUGCAACCAGUUAGAGCUGAACCUGUACACCGACUACAGAAUGUUCCUGUUCGUGAGAAUAUCCCAGUUGGAGCCAGGCGUAAGAUAGCUCGGCGGCGAAUGCAACUGGAGAGAGAUUCAGAUGAUGAUGCACCUGUUAAUGUGGGAAGAGGAGAGGAACAAAGUUUUUCGGAUAAUGAAGAAAGUAUUUUCGACAACAUUGCCAUGCCUGAAGGCAAGAUUGGUGCCAAGAAGAUGCGUAAACUACAGGAAAAGGCAGAGAAAAAAGCAAUGAGAGAGCAAAUGGAGAUAGAACGUGAGGAGAAAAGGGAGCGGUUAGCUGCUGAGGAGGCGAAAAAGAAAGAAGAGGAGAAAAAACGGGAACGAGAAGAAGCUGAAAUGGCACUUGCUCAGCAGAAAGCAAAGGAAGAAGAACAGAAAAGAGAACAUGAAGAAUAUUUGAAGAUGAAAGCUGAGUUUACAAUAGAUGAAGAAGGAGAAGAAGAAAAAGCAACAGAUUUAGACUCACAAUCUCUGCUGGAAGAAUUUAUCAAUUACAUCAAGGAGAUCAAAGUUGUAAUGCUGGAAGAUUUGGCUCACCAUUUCUCAAUAAAAACACAGGAAGCAAUUGAUCGGGUGCAGUGUCUCCUUGGUGACGGCACUUUGACUGGAGUCAUGGAUGACCGUGGAAAGUUCAUCUACAUCACCAGAGAUGAAUUGCAGUCCGUAGCAAAGUAUAUGCAACAGAGAGGACGUGUAUCAGUUCAAGAUUUGGCUGUCUCCAGCAACGAACUGAUUGAGUUGAAUCCUAAUAAUGAACUGGCACAGAGACGUUUGCUGGGUGAAGCUUCAGCAUGAUACUUCAUGGUUUCCAUCUAACUGUAUAUGUCUAUUUUUUUAUGUUCAUAUAUAUAUAUAUAUAUAUGUAAUUAUGUAUAUGUGUGUGUAUGCGUGUGUGUUUAUUAAUUGGAAGAAGUUACAGAGUGACUCCAGGACUGAGAGUUUAAUGUAUUGGCACUUACCAAACCAGUUUCCAAUUUUGAACGUUACAUUUAUGUUGACCAGCUUAAAUGAUAACUAUAAUUCUCUGGAUUCUUCUAGAAUAAAUUAUGUAAACAAUUUCAA
RNA transcript from Octopus sinensis (East Asian common octopus), 1318 nucleotides. It is a transcript of the gene named DDRGK domain-containing protein 1, with no coding region annotated. Lineage: Eukaryota; Metazoa; Mollusca; Cephalopoda; Octopoda; Octopodidae. The transcript is spliced from 10 exons. The record is from RefSeq and is a predicted model, not a curated record.